UGGAUACCAUUAAGAGUUCAUUAUCAUGCUAAUAGCAAUCAACACGAUGAAGGGGUGGGAACCACAGCCCAUCGAGUGUCCCUUCGCUGCACUGGGUUUCCUCGCCCCCCGCCCCUGCACUCAGACCUGGGACAAUGGCAUCUGUUUUGGAUAAGACACGGAGCUGGCCGUGCCGGAUCGCCACGUCAGGCCGGUGCUGACGUCGCUGUAGAGGGAUCCCGCCCCGCCGCCCGCGCCCCCGCCCCCCGCGCCCCCAGGUCCCCCCGCGCUCCCUGCGGCCGCGCCCCCCGCGCCCCCGCCUCCCGGGGCGCUCUUGCUCGCCCAGCAGCAGCGGGUGCACAGGGCACGCCACGACUCCAGCGUCUUGCCAGACCAGACCCACACGCCCGAGGUGAUGCCCACCACCAGGCACAUGAAAUACUUGAGCAUGAAGACGGCGUAGUCGGGCCGGCGCGCCUGGUCCGGCUGCAGGUCCCGCAGGCACGGGCAGUUGUGCGUGGCCUCCCAGCGCGGGCGGUUGUGCUGCUCGUAGAAGAGGCAGGCCACCACGACGGCGGCCGGCACCGUGUAGAGCACCGUGAACAGGCCCAGGCGGAUCAUGAGCUUCUCCAGCUUGUGUGUCUUGGUGGGGCCGCCCUGCUGCUUGAUCACCGAGCGGAUGCGGAACAGCGACACGAAGCCGGCCAGCAGGAACAUGGUGCCGAUGAAGAGGUAGAUGACGAGCGGCGCCAGCACGAAGCCGCGCAGGUUGUCAAGGCUCUGGUUGCCCACGUAGCAGAUGCCGGCCACCGGGUCGCCGUCCACGGAGCUGAGCGCCAGCACGGCGAUGGACUUGACGCUAGGCACCAGCCACGCGGCCAGGUGGAAGUACUGCGAGUAACCGGCGAUGGCCUCAUUGCCCCACUUCAUGCCCGCCGCCAGGAACCACGUGAGCGACAGGAUCACCCACCAGAUGGAGCUGGCCAUGCCGAAGAAGUAGACGAGCAGGAAGACCACGGUGCACAGCGCGGGGCCCGUGGUCUCGUAGCGCACGUGCUGCUCCACGGCGCCCAGCUCCUCGUACUCGCCGCGCCCGCCCGGGCCGCCCGCGCCCGCGCCCGCCGCGCCCGCGCCCGCCGCCGCCGCCGCCGCCGCGCCCCCCGCGCCCGCGGUGCCGCCUGCGCCCGGCGCGCCGCCGCUGCACGCCACCUUCUCGUGGCCCGCCACCAGGCGCACCAGGUAGCCGACGGACACGAAGAGGUAGCAGGCGGAGAGGAAGAUGAUGGGCCGCUCGGGGUACUUGAAGCGCUCCAUGUCGAUGAGGAAGGUGGACACGGUGGCGAAGGUGGACACGAAGCACAGCACAGACCACAGGCCGAUCCAGAAGACCGUGAAGGCGCGCUCGUCCUGGCUGAAGAACGGGUUGUGGCAGGGCAGCGCGCAGUUGGCGAUCUGGCCGGUCUUGACGCGGUUGUAGAGCGGGUGCCGCUCGCUGGACACGCUCACCAUGGGCGCGCGGCACUGGCAGCCCGGCUCGCAGGGCGCAGGGCCGCCGCCAGGGGGCCGCGCCUUCCCGCCGCCGCCGCCGCCGCCGCCGCCGCGCGUGGGGGGCGCCGCCGCCGCCGCCGCCGCCGCGUCCCCGCCGCCACCGCCCCUACCGCGGGACGGGGGCCUGGCCCCGGGCGGGCGGCCGUGGCCGCUGCCGGAGGGCGGCUGCUCACCCGGGGGCGGCGGCGGCGGCGGCGGCAGGCGGCGCGGCGGGCUGGGCGCGGCUGUGGUCAGGUCCGUGCGGUUGUAGUCCAUGCACAGCGUGUCGGGGUUGCCCUGCUCCGGCAGCCGGUCGCAGCGCAUGCGGUCGGGCCACGCGAAGCCGUACUGGCGCAUGAGGGGUGCGCAGCCGGCCUUGGCGCGCUCGCACACCGAGCGGCACGGAGGCAGGGGCUUCUUGUAGUCCUCCAGGCAGAUGGGCGUGUACAUGCUGCACAGGAAGAACUUGAGGUCGGGCGAGCACUGGAUCUCCACCAGCGGCCAGAACUGGUGCACCUCCAGGCCCGCCUCGUCCUGCGUGUCGUGGUUGAACUGGUUGGGCAUGUACGUGUAGUUGUAGCCGAUGCCCUUGCACAGCGGCACGGUGAUUUCUUGGCACGCCAGCUCCUUGGCCGAGGCGGCUGCCGCGCCGCUCGAGCGCUGCAGCAGCGCCAAGGCGGCCAGCAGCGAGGUCACUUCCAACAGAGGGCCCUCCACCAGGACGUCAGGUGCAGAGCAACAACAGGGAAUCGCGGGGGUCGGGGCGCGGAUGGAGGCAGUCCGUCCCCCGAGGAGGACCUACUACUGGCCGCACGUUGCCCAGGGGCUGGGCUCCAAAACCAACACAGGGAAAGGAUUUUGUCAGAAGGAAGUACUCUUUGCUGUGUCUGCUGUCAGAAGGCCCACUUGUGA
RNAcentral lists this long non-coding RNA (2418 nucleotides) under Canis lupus familiaris (dog). RNAcentral describes it as "lncRNA (ENSCAFG00000003672.6)". Lineage: Eukaryota; Metazoa; Chordata; Mammalia; Carnivora; Canidae. The record is from RNAcentral.